This is a long non-coding RNA of Mus musculus (house mouse), 5975 nucleotides long. RefSeq annotates it as predicted gene 13821. NCBI's taxonomy places the organism in Eukaryota, Metazoa, Chordata, Mammalia, Rodentia, Muridae. The record is from RefSeq and is a predicted model, not a curated record. The transcript is spliced from 2 exons.
ACAAAACCAGCCACUGUGUAGACACCAUGGCUGAACUCAGGUGAGAAUUCAGACUCAGUCUAGCUGCUGAUGUGACCCUCUUUCCAGCCGCUCUAUAUCUCUCCCUGGGAGCCCCAGCCCUCUCUCUAAGCCCCGCCCCCUGUGCAGAAUGCCUCCUCUAAGCUCUGCCCCUCUGAGGAAUGCCCUGGGCACCAUGCACUCCUAUGCCCCUUGGUCUUGUAGCUGGUUCUCACUAGCAUUUUUGUCACAGCAGAUGUUCGUCAGGUGCCUCUGGGCAAAUGUCCUCAAGCUCGGGGAUGCGUGGGUCAGUCUAUGACAAGCUUGCUCCUGGAAGGUGGAGUUACAAUGUGACACUUUUCAAUUGUUCAGUCUCUUGCUUUCCCUGUGUUUGUGUGUGUAAUGAUGGCAUUCUGGUUCAUGGGGGUGGGGCGGGGCAGGGUAAACCUAUAGUUUAGUUCCUCAGCCCCUCCACGCCCCCAGGUAUCAUUUCAAGUGACCUUAGCCACAAGUGUGUCUAGAGAACAACAUACACAUGGGACAGUGGCCCCAACACAGAAAGGGUCGCAGGCGCACUGUGCUAGAGAGAGAACUCAAGACUUGGGUGGGAAACAUUUUGGAGAGAAGGAAGCCAGUGGGGACCGGCUCCAGUGACUCAGUGAGCUUGUCGGUGGCUAGAGCCAACGCCAGCAUAGGGCCUGGCGCUCAGCCACUGUCCCGAGAAACGGGAGAUGAUGAUUCCCGAGGUAUUUCCAGGUGCUCUCACCUCCAAAUAGCCCCCACCAGCUGCCAUCUUCCUCCAGGAAUCCUGGCUGCCCGAGAGGUCAAUAGAAUGUGACCAAGGCGGCAGUGGGACUGUCAAGGCCGAGUCAGGAAGGCACAGCAGCUUCCCAAUCCCUCCUGUGGCAGAGGCUGACCCUGGUGAUUUGAGUCUCGCAUUUCCAGCUGCGCGCAUGCGAGGUGCCUGUUUUCCGAUAAUGUUUCAUAUGCUCUUGAUGUAGAUUCUCCUGUUGCUCACUGCAGGGCUGUGUGGGAUGCUGACGCUGGCGGGUGGCGGCCUGGGAGGCUCUGCCUGCCUCUGAGGUUCUCCUGCCUUUCUGUCUUCUGGAUUUAUCAGUAAGAAGGGAGGGCUGAGUCUCCAAAUGCAGUAGAGAAUUUACUGAUUCUGCAAAUCUACCUGGUUUCGCCUCCUCCGAUAUGAGACCCUCUCAUCAGGGAGCCCAGCAGCGUGGAUGCCGGGGACGCUAUGGCUUUGAGGACUGGCCCACCGAGCCAAAAGUGGAACCUGUUUGUCCACAAAUCCUUUUCCUCACCGUGAUGGCUGCUUUGCUUGAUGGAUCUGCAGCUGCUUGGCUUACUUUUUGAUUUGUGUGAGCAAAACCGGCACCUUUCUCCACCACUUUACCUUUAGCUUGUGUUUCCGUAUUGAAAGUCAGCCUUUUUGUACACAACAUGUGGUUAGGUCUCACUGCUGUUUAAUUCAUGGAGCUAGUCUCUGACCUCUGACUAGUACAUUUAGGCCACUCCCAUUUAGAGAGAUUUUUCAAAUGGGAAGGGGAGACACAAUAUGUCAGGACAAACUGUCCAUAGCUACAGUGCACGAGCACACCAUUUAGAAAAGCAGGACAGGCUCAGAAUGACAGAAAGACGCACAGGGACCCCUUGGAGGAAGCUGACUUUUAAACUGAGCUUUGAAGGCUCUGACGAACCCUUACUGCUGAGUGAACCACAGGCUCUAAGAACCUGGAAGGGCCGUGGGGACCGUCUAAGCCUCUAUGUUACAUGAAGGAAAAGGGCUGCACAUGUGACUGGUACCACUUUUAUGUUGUUUUGUGAGUUUUAUUGUAUUGUUUUGUGGUGUUUGCCUGUGCCUGAGGGCAGGGAUGGCAGCAGGGUGUAGCAACUCGCUAUGGUGUGAGUUGGAGAACUCUGGGGGAGGGGGGAAAUGCAGUCCACAGAAGUGGGUCAGUUGCCACUGCCACAUGGGAGGGAGACUGGGACAAGCACUGUGGCUGAGGCCCCCUGAGAUGCCAAGUGUCUUUGUCUUUCCCAGCAGAGAGAGGCUAGUUCUUUUAUUCAAGGGGGGAGGAACCGCUUGCCCUAGGGAGGUGAGGCUGGUGUGGGUCCUAUGAUGCAGGCCUUACAAGGAGCAGUUUGAGCCUAGAGAGUUAGGGUGGGAGCAUGAGUAUGCAGAUGGGCUGGAAGGGGGUGUGGGGGAAUGAGAGGGCAGGGCAGCCAUGCUUGCUUCCAGACAUGGGAUGUAGCAGCUUUACAAGGCCCCAGAAUGGGGCAUCCCUCUCCCUCCAAGCUCUUCUGCUAUGUUUAUGAUAGCAUUGGAGAGGGAGCCCGAGAGCCUGGGCAGGGAGAGGGGAGAGCAUGGGGCAGUGGGUCCUGGCAUGUCUGGGUCUAGGGUGGUGACUCUCAGACCCAGUCUCAGGAGGUACGGUGGGACAGAAUCUCUUCAUCCAUGUGUGCGCAUAGGAAUCUCCCAUUCUCCUCCCCAGACUUUUCCCCCAUGUGUGAUGCAUACGACGGUGUCUGCUGGUGUCUGACACCAGAGAAACCAACAACAGGGUGUCCUGCCUCUCUUCCUAGAGGGCAUUGGGGAAGAGAGUCGAGGCACCUCCCUUCUCUGAUGUGGCGGGAAACCUUGGGUCGAGUUUUUUACUCUGGAUGGUGGUACAGUGGGGGCCAGGGCUCACAGCCGAGGUCUGGAACUCUGAUUGGAGCUGUCUUCAGAGCUCUAUUAUGGAGCCCCAGCCCUGGGCAGGAAAGCUCAUUAGCAGACGUAAUAGAUGUGAGCACGUGACUGCUGAGUCUGGUCCCCUAUCCAUUGGACUGGAACUCCUGCUCCUUCUCCAUUAGCAGCAGUGUCUGCAAGUUCGGCCAUCCCUCUGGACCCUUCUGAGUUCUCCCGGGGCUCUGAAUGCAGUCUUUUUUAUGCAAGGAUCUUGGACACGCAAGGGUGUGUGCGGCGCAAGCCUACAAACUCUCUCACCUCUACCAGAGAUAAUAAGGUCAGUAAACAGCAAACUGGGCUGUGAGGCGGGCUCACCAGUGGGGAGGCCUGCAGAAUUCAGCAGGGACGCAGAGAGGAACCCAGGGUGCUGGGUUGUGGAGUGGUAUCCAGAAAACACACUAACCAACCACCCAUGCAAUGUCACUGGGUCCUUGAGAUGUCCUGCAAGCUGGAGCAGGGGCAGCUCUGGGAUUGCAGUCGUCUAAGGGAAGCCAGUGGCUGGGGGUCUGUAAGGAUGCUGGGAGCAGCUAUCGCUUUUUACAGGUCUUUUAUACCCUAGAGCCCAGGCAGGCCAUAAGGACAAAGGGUGCCCGGGACACAAGCAGGUAGUUUGGAAGUUUGGUGUAAAGAAGCAACAUCUACCUUCUCUUUCAACUGUGUGCCAUUGGGCUUGGCCAUGCAUAGCCCACAGUUGGCACAAAUAUUUGGAACCUGUGAGUAAAGAAGCUGGAGGUGGGCUCAGAACGUGCUGCCCAGGCCCAUGUAACAGAUGCCCGAGGAACCACAAGUGCGCGUGUGCACACACACAGGUUGCUGGAAUGAGAGGCCAGGAGGCACUGGAGUGCUCAAAGGCUGCAGAUCUUCCUUCUGGGCCUUGGGGUGUGGGAUGGGGUGGGGGGAAUCUCCCUGAGGGCUCUAAGCUAGAGCAGGACUGGUCCCCUCUUCCCUGUUCCAGCUCCAGAGCUGUCAGCACCGCCCCCUCACCCCCUUUGCAGGAGCAGUGUGCCUCCUGCAGGAGCUUUGGGAACAGUGCCUGGGUGUCCUCCUGCCCUCACCCAGAGAAGCCACUGCAGGGUUGGGGGGCAGGGCACUGAGACUAAGACCACUCAGAGAUGCAACUGAACUGCGGACCAGGGCGGGCUGAGAAGGAAAGGCUAACCCUGUGAGUCUGCACACCCCUCCCUGCCUAGGUGUCUAGCAAUGAAGCCCUGUGCUCUCACAGAACUUUCUGAGGAUGCUCUAGUUCCAUUAUCUCUUAGAGAGAGGAGCAGGCACACUGCACGGGGUCAUUCUCCACUGAGCUUGUUGCUGUGCUCAGGCAGUUCAGGGAAUAAGUAAAUGCUGCUCUCUGCUCUCAGCCGAUGCCCCUGGUGGGAAAGAAGUGGGCUUCAAAUUUCCACUUCACAUCCUUCUGGAGCACGAAGAGUUAAUGGAGCACACAUCAUCCUAAGACAUGUCCCCUCCCAAUCCCUGCUCUCCCCCCAGCCUGCAGCUGUCAGGGAACUCAAAAAAAUGAUGCAGGUUGGCACACGGCCAAUAAGACUCAUCUGUGUAUUGGCUGUGCCCUGCCCUGCUCUUCCUGGGCCACUAAAUACCUUAAUGUCAUUUCCAGUAAAUCCUUUUACUUGUACUUCAAGUUUCCAUUUCCAGACAAGAGAAUCCUCCAGUCAGCCCCUGGGGUCUCUCUGGACUCUUAAGUUUAAGAGUUGGACUCUGUAGGGAACCCCUCUUCCUCAGUGUGCAUCCUGAGCCAUGCAUGGCCACUGGCCAUACACUCACGCUGCUGUUAGUUGUGGGUACCGUCUUGUGGACGCUUCACGAGACAGGUUACUGCAGGACGAGGUCUUCAAGGCAGCUGUGGGCUGAGUGGUGUUCGCCAAGGAGCCUGGGUGAGAACCGAUUUGCAGUGAGUGCAUCACCAGGCUGAGCCAUGGGGUGUUUAAGGUCAGUUCUCUCUAAAGAUGUAGUUGUCCUGAAUGGAUUUUGUGGGUGUGGAUUCCUCACUGGAGAGGUGGGCUGGUGUGAAGGCAGAUUGAGCCUGGUCUCUCUUGCCUGGAGGUGCCGCUGAAGAAGUGAGCUUCAAAUUUCCACUUCACAUCCUUCUGGAGCAUGAAGAGUUAAUGGAGCACUGUGGAAGGGAUGGCAUGGCACAGUUCCAGCCCCAAGAGCAGACAGAGCUAGCAGGGUGUGGGCCUUUACAAGUGUUGGCCAUUGGUAGGCAUAAGGUUUACUUAUGUAAUAAUGUACACAGUUAACUUUAUCAUUUCCUCCUUUGAGAAAAUGCUCUCCCUGCCAAGGUUGAUGAUCCCAUGAACAAAAGAAGCAGCAAGAGUCUGGGAGGUUUGUGUAUUGCAGAAUAGAGGACCAGAAGACCAGCCCCGACAGGGAUUCAUCCUCAAAGAUGCUGAGAGACCGAACCUGCUGUUUUGCUCCCUGAUCCAUCCUGCCUCAAACUGAUGCAGUUUCCAGAGACUUGCUGCUAGAACAGCUUCAGGAAGGACUGCUGAUCCCAGAUGGCCUCGAUUCAUCCGGCCCUUCAGACUGAUGCAGUCAAGAGUUCACUUCAUCCACAUAUGUAGACCUGACAACCAAUGACGUCAGCCAGCUCUCUGUUGAUUUAUCCAUUUCCCCAGUUUCCUUCUGGGAUCCCAAACAGGAGUUCUUGGCCCCAAUGCAUCAGGAAGCAAUAAGAAGAAGACUGUCGUCCCAGUGGCGCAAGUUGGGGUGGAUGGUUUUGGUCAUCUAUGAAUUUAUACAUAUGUUAUUUUAAGGGAUGAUUAACAAAUAAUUAUAAUCUUGGAUGGGGAGGAAACUAAAUGGGGAAUUUAGAAUCAGGGAUUUCUAUCUUUUCCUUUUCUCUAUCCUUUCAGACAAAGGGAAGGGGGCAUGUGGUGGCACACGCCUGGCGAGAAGAAAAAAUGGAGAAUAUAGAGUUGUCAUAUAGAAAUAAAAGGGUAGAUUAUUGAAUCUACUCUGCAACUUAGAACUAUUGCUAUUUUCAAAUAAGGUUAUUUUUUGUUACAUUGGUACAAAAUGCUAUACAUUGAUACAGAUUUAAGGUUUUCAUUGGUAUAAAACUUUGUAUAUUGAUACAAAAUUUAAGGUUAAUUUGUUACAAUGUACUAUGUGUAAAUUUCAACUUUUGUUUGGGUAUUAUGCCUGUGCAACUCAUUUAAAAAUACAAGGUUUAGGGCUGGUGAGAUGGCUCAGUGGGUAAGAGCACCCGACUGCUCUUCCG